Molecule: transfer RNA, 59 nt
Filed under: Anisakis simplex (herring worm)
Lineage: Eukaryota; Metazoa; Nematoda; Chromadorea; Rhabditida; Anisakidae
Description: tRNA-Met
Source: RNAcentral
AUAAGAUAGGAUAAUUUUAGUCCGAGAGGUCCAUACCCUCUAGGUGUUUUCUCUUGUUG